AUGAAAAGGUUUACUGUAGGAGAGAAUUGCAGCCGAGGGUCUCUAAAAUGGAAAGGGAACAUCCAAGACCCUCGCUCGCGGAUGUAUAUAUUUUAUUCUUCAGAUACUCCAAUGCGAUAUCCCUCCCCUUGCACGGGACCGGGGAGGGGGAGACCCCAACUCUACUUUGGGCAGCUGGAGCCGUUGGCGAAUUCCAGAUACCUGAGAGAUCAAUGGGGCAGUUGGGAGUGGGGGGAGGGCGGUAAGAUAUUACACACUUGUCUACCUAUUGCUGAACGGGUACAAGCAGGCACACAGACGCCCAGAGAGAGUUCCAUAUUUCCUGUCUUAUUUCCAUUACUUGGAAAAGAAAUCCCUUUCGGUGGAACAUGUGUCGACUUCAUCCUGCUUCUCCUUCUCUCAUCCCUGAUUUCUGCUUGGCUGAUAAUGACUUCCUUGUCUCCUUGGCCUCUUCAUUCCCUAAUCUGUUGUCGAGAAAGAAGCGCUGGUAUGAAUAAAGUCAUUAUGUAAUUGAGGGAUAAAGGGAAAAAGAGACCCUCGUAUUUGGACAAAACGAGUCCAGGAGAAUCGCCCAAAAUUCCUUCCCCAGAACUCUGAAAACGGCAUGAAAAUGGGGUGGGGGGAGGGGAUGUACAAAAACCUCGCUGCCUUUUCUCCACCUUUGCUGUAGGCUGCAAAUACAGUCAGGAUUGGGAAGUAAGCCAGCACUGACCCUCUGCUGGUUCAGUUUCAAAUAGGAGUUCUGGGAUUUGAGGGCCACGGGUCAGACAGUAAGAGAGCCAAGUACUAC
RNAcentral lists this long non-coding RNA (790 nucleotides) under Monodelphis domestica (gray short-tailed opossum). RNAcentral's name for it is "lncRNA (ENSMODG00000040957.1)". Lineage: Eukaryota; Metazoa; Chordata; Mammalia; Didelphimorphia; Didelphidae. The record is from RNAcentral.